UGCGGAAUUUUAGAUAAUGGAGGGAACUCUGAUCUAGCGACGCCGCGUGCAGGAAGAAGGUCUUCGGGUUGUAAACUGCUGUGGUAAGGGAAAAAUGCUAUGUAGAGUGGAAAGCUACAUAGAGGGAUGGUACCUUACUAGAAAGCCCCGGCUAACUACGUGCCAGCAGCCGCGGUAAUACGUAGGGGGCGAGCGUUACCCGGAAUCACUGGGCGUAAAGGGAGCGUAGGUGGCCUAACAUGUCAACUGUGAAAACCCGGAGCUCAACUCCGGACUUGCUGUUGAAACUGGUAGGCUUGAGGACGGUAGAGGAAGACGGAACUGCCAGUGUAGGGGUAAAAUCCUUAGAUAUUGGCAGGAACGCCGGUGACGAAGGUGGUUUUCUGGGCCGGUUCUGACACUGAUGCUCGAAAGCCAGGGGAGCGAACG
This 429-nucleotide ribosomal RNA is filed under the name uncultured bacterium. RNAcentral's name for it is "bacterial SSU rRNA". It matches the Rfam family "Bacterial small subunit ribosomal RNA", at positions 355 to 774 of the family's 1533-position model. The record is from RNAcentral.